RNAcentral lists this ribosomal RNA (253 nucleotides) under uncultured bacterium. Its description in RNAcentral is "partial 16S ribosomal RNA". It matches the Rfam family "Bacterial small subunit ribosomal RNA", at positions 524 to 776 of the family's 1533-position model. The record is from RNAcentral.
UACGGGGGGGGCAAGCGUUGUUCGGAAUUACUGGGCGUAAAGGGCUCGUAGGCGGCCAACUAAGUCGGAUGUGAAAUCCCCAGGCUCAACCUGGGAACUGCAUCCGAUACUGGAUGGCUUGAAUUCGGGAGAGGGAUGCAGAAUUCCAGGUGUAGCGGUGAAAUGCGUAGAUAUCAGGAGGAACACCGGUGGCGAAGGCGGGUCUCUGGGCCGUAACUGACGCUGAGGAGCGAAAGCGUGGGGAGCGAACAGG